RNAcentral lists this unclassified non-coding RNA (339 nucleotides) under soil metagenome. Its description in RNAcentral is "partial contains 5.8S ribosomal RNA, internal transcribed spacer 2, and large subunit ribosomal RNA". The stretch from base 1 to 120 matches the Rfam family "5.8S ribosomal RNA", at positions 35 to 154 of the family's 154-position model. The record is from RNAcentral.
GAUGAAGAACGUAGCGAAAUGCGAUAACUAAUGUGAAUUGCAGAAUUCAGUGAAUCAUCGAGUCUUUGAACGCACAUUGCGCCCCCUGGUAUUCCGGGGGGCAUGCCUGUCCGAGCGUCAUUGCUGCCCUCAAGCACGGCUUGUGUGUUGGGCUCCGUCCCCCCGGGGACGGGCCCGAAAGGCAGCGGCGGCACCGAGUCCGGUCCUCGAGCGUAUGGGGCUUUGUCACCCGCUCUGUAGGCCCGGCCGGCGCCAGCCGACAACCCAUCAUCCUUUUCAGGUUGACCUCGGAUCAGGAAGGGAUACCCGCUGAACUUAAGCAUAUCAAUAAGCGGAGGA